RNAcentral lists this long non-coding RNA (751 nucleotides) under Monodelphis domestica (gray short-tailed opossum). RNAcentral describes it as "lncRNA (ENSMODG00000050588.1)". The record is from RNAcentral. Lineage: Eukaryota; Metazoa; Chordata; Mammalia; Didelphimorphia; Didelphidae.
GCAGAGACGGCUCAGAGGGAUGACAUAUUUGGAAGUCUUGCUGGGAUUUCAAAGUCUGCAGGACUUUGUGUAGACUGCAGGAAUUUGUUGUGUUUCAAUCCAGAUUCAAUUCAGCCAUCUUGGCUGACCUUAACAUGUCAACUGAAGUUUCCCCAAGAUUCCCCCCAAAUUCCCACUUAAUUUCUUAUGCCGACUAUAGAUAUAUUGAAAAUGAGACGGAGCAAGUUGAAACAUGGAAGGAAUACCUGCAUAAUAAAUAUUUUCUUGGAGCCACAGAUGAGAAUGAAGAAAUGAGGACUCAUUCUAAACCCCUGGAGCCCAGCCAUCCCAUGUCCCAGUGGUUUCACACUAUAGCUAGAAUCUGGAGAUGGAGUCUACAGAAGACACUGGUGCAAGCACACCAUGCACCAGAUGGGAAGGACCUCAACUCUUAGAAGACUCCAAAUGUGGCUAAGUAUAUUCCUUGUUCUCCCUUACAUCAUCCAUUACAUGUUCCUCAGUACAUGUUCCUGGGACUUGGCCCUGCUGUUUUCUUUUUGCAUGGUCUUCUCUCAGAGAAAUCUCUUGGUACCCACCCAAAGCAAGAUCCCUACUUAAAGACUGGCAAAUACUUCAAUCCAAGAACUAGAAACAUCCGAAAGAAAAACAACUAGUUCUCACAUCUAACUAGAGUAGGAAAGUUUCAAAUCAGUUAUGUUUUAUUUUGUUACAAGAACUAAUAAAACUUAAUCUCUAUUAAUUGGGAGAUCCA